Molecule: ribosomal RNA, 281 nt
Filed under: uncultured bacterium
Lineage: Bacteria
Description: partial 16S ribosomal RNA
Rfam family: Bacterial small subunit ribosomal RNA
Source: RNAcentral
GUGCCAGCAGCCGCGGUAAUACGUAGGGGGCGAGCGUUGUCCGGAUUUAUUGGGCGUAAAGAGCUCGUAGGCGGUUCAACAAGUCGGUAGUAAAAGUUCAGGGCUCAACCCUGAAAUGUCUAUUGAUACUGUUGUGACUAGGAUACGGCAGAGGUGAGUGGAAUUCCGAGUGUAGCGGUGAAAUGCGUAGAUAUUCGGAGGAACACCAAUUGCGAAGGCAGCUCACUGGGCCGCUAUCGACGCUGAGGAGCGAAAGCUGGGGGAGCAAACAGGAUUAGAUA